Molecule: long non-coding RNA, 645 nt
Organism: Mercenaria mercenaria
Lineage: Eukaryota; Metazoa; Mollusca; Bivalvia; Venerida; Veneridae
Exons: 3
Source: RefSeq, a predicted model, not a curated record
UUGUAAUCCCCGGCAAAUGGACUUGUACACUUCAAACAGAAGUCGGCACUGAUAUGAAACAAAACAGUUUGAUGUGAAACUGCCAUUCGAAAUGGAAAUUUGGCCAAUAAGUAAAUACAAAGCCCUUGAAAAUGUAGACCUAUUGAGAGAUGAGGGAUUUAUCGAAUGGCAUAAUUACAUUAAGUUAAAUUUACAGUCACCGUUUGAUGCCAAUAAACAUGGAUACUAAAACGAUUUAAGCUAUUCAGUGCAACCGAUCCAGAAUGAUUUCACCAUGAGAAUACUGGCCUGUUUUUAUUGUACAGAGGCUGUUGCCCUGCCGAGUUUCAUUCACUAGGAUUUUCAACACAUGGGAAAGAAAAUGGGCGAGUUCAGCUGUUGCAUGGACUAUGGUAAUUCUAGAAAACAACUCAUGGACAUGCCUGAUGAGCUGGAACAGCAGGUCAUUGUAUGUGUUCGACCACACAGGACUUUCCUCCAGCUAUGCCAGGCUCUCUGGUUGAAGGCUCUUACACAUAUUAUUAAAUGUGAAUUAUGUGUACAUGUACUUGGACUGUGACAUAUUACAAACACUGUAAAUUUCUCAAAUAUUCCUUUUUUUCAAUGAAAUUUGUACGAUUUUUUUUGGAAAUAGAAUGUUGCAGA